UAAUUGAAGAGUUUGAUCAUGGCUCAGAUUGAACGCUGGCGGUAGGCUUAACACAUGCAAGUCGAGCGGAAACGAAGAAUAGCUUGCUAUUCUGGCGUCGAGCGGCGGACGGGUGA
RNAcentral lists this ribosomal RNA (116 nucleotides) under Moritella sp. Its description in RNAcentral is "partial 16S ribosomal RNA". It matches the Rfam family "Bacterial small subunit ribosomal RNA", at positions 1 to 109 of the family's 1533-position model. Lineage: Bacteria; Pseudomonadati; Pseudomonadota; Gammaproteobacteria; Alteromonadales; Moritellaceae. The record is from RNAcentral.